RNAcentral lists this ribosomal RNA (253 nucleotides) under uncultured bacterium. RNAcentral's name for it is "partial 16S ribosomal RNA". It matches the Rfam family "Bacterial small subunit ribosomal RNA", at positions 524 to 776 of the family's 1533-position model. The record is from RNAcentral.
UACGAAGGGGGCUAGCGUUGUUCGGAUUUACUGGGCGUAAAGCGCACGUAGGCGGCUUGUUAAGUCAGAGGUGAAAGCCUGGAGCUCAACUCCAGAACUGCCUUUGAUACUGGCAGGCUCGAGUAUGGAAGAGGUUGGUGGAACUCCGAGUGUAGAGGUGAAAUUCGUAGAUAUUCGGAAGAACACCAGUGGCGAAGGCGGCCAACUGGUCCAUUACUGACGCUGAGGUGCGAAAGCGUGGGGAGCAAACAGG